This 460-nucleotide ribosomal RNA is filed under the name uncultured bacterium. RNAcentral describes it as "partial 16S ribosomal RNA". It matches the Rfam family "Bacterial small subunit ribosomal RNA", at positions 338 to 795 of the family's 1533-position model. The record is from RNAcentral.
CCUACGGGAGGCAGCAGUGAGGAAUAUUGGUCAAUGGACGAGAGUCUGAACCAGCCAAGUAGCGUGAAGGAUGACUGCCCUAUGGGUUGUAAACUUCUUUUAUAUGGGAAUAAAACGUUCCACGUGUGGGAUUUUGUAUGUACCAUAUGAAUAAGGAUCGGCUAACUCCGUGCCAGCAGCCGCGGUGAUACGGAGGAUUCGAGCGUUAUCCGGUUUUAUUGGGUUUAAAGGGAGCGUAGGGGGGUUGUUAAGUCAGUUGUGAAAGUUUGCGGCUCAACCGUAAAAUUGCAGUUGAAACUGGCAGUCUUGAGUACAGUAGAGGUAGGCGGAAUUCGUGGUGUAGCGGUGAAAUGCUUAGAUAUCACGCAGAACUCCGAUUGCGAAGGCAGCUCACUGGACUGCAACUGACACUGAGGCUCGAAAGUGUGGGUAUCGAACAGGAUUAGAUACCCCAGUAGUC